Long non-coding RNA from Grus americana (Whooping crane), 798 nucleotides. RefSeq lists it as uncharacterized. The record is from RefSeq and is a predicted model, not a curated record. Lineage: Eukaryota; Metazoa; Chordata; Aves; Gruiformes; Gruidae. The transcript has 6 exons.
GUGCAGUAGCCAUGUUUGUCAAAGUAUUUGGCACCAGUGACAUCAUCUUUGUUGAAGUGCCGGACAGCGUGAUGAGUCCCAGAUGUUAACGCACACCAAAAGUCGAGAAAGAAUAAGAUACAAAGAUCAACUGUAACAGCUAUGGAGGACUGUACUCAGUUUACAUUCUGUUGUUGAUACAUGAAGAAUAUGGGGUUUUCUCAAGGACUCCAGACGCUGUUAAAACUUACAGACAAUUUAAAAGACAAGCAAAGAACAAACACCACAACUAAAGGAAGCUGCCAAAGGCUGUGGAAGUGUCAGCUGGCACCACUGCUCAUUAUACAGAUGGAGUUGUUGACUUUUACAUACAUAAAUGAUCUGAGAAAAGCUAUGUGAAGACUUUAAAAGAAGGCUUUCUUUUGGCAAAAGGAAAAAGAGAAAAAAAUUAAGAACCUCUGCUGAAAUUUAUUGGGGCAGAGCACGCCUGUCGGAGAGCAGGAAUGCUGGUGGUGGGUUUGGCAGCCCCACGAUGGCACCAGAAGCAGCAGUGAGACGCUGGAGCUGGAGGUCAACUGGUCAUAUUUAGAGACCCUGGAAGGGUAACCUGCUUUGAAGGUUUGUGCUACCUGCUCAUUUCCUGAACGGGAAACUGCCAAGUUUCAUCUCCUCCCUACCACAGUUAACUCCAGGGGAAGCUGUGCUAUUGUUUUAUACAAUGCCAGUAGUACCACGGUACUUCAAACAGUUCUGUGAAAUGCAGUUCCUUCUAUUCCCUCUGUUAUCAUUUCCUACGACAUUAGAAAAGAUCCUGAGCCC